CAUGCCUAACACAUGCAAGUCGAACGAAGGCUUCGGCCUUAGUGGCGCACGGGUGCGUAACGCGUGGGAAUCUGCCCUUAGGUUCGGAAUAACAGCUGGAAACGGCUGCUAAUACCGGAUGAUGACGAAAGUCCAAAGAUUUAUCGCCUGAGGAUGAGCCCGCGUUGGAUUAGGUAGUUGGUGGGGUAAAGGCCUACCAAGCCGACGAUCCAUAGCUGGUCUGAGAGGAUGAUCAGCCACACUGGGACUGAGACACGGCCCAGACUCCUACGGGAGGCAGCAGUGGGGAAUAUUGGACAAUGGGCGAAAGCCUGAUCCAGCAAUGCCGCGUGAGUGAUGAAGGCCCUAGGGUUGUAAAGCUCUUUUACCCGGGAAGAUAAUGACUGUACCGGGAGAAUAAGCCCCGGCUAACUCCGUGCCAGCAGCCGCGGUAAUACGGAGGGGGCUAGCGUUGUUCGGAAUUACUGGGCGUAAAGCGCACGUAGGCGGCUUUGUAAGUCAGAGGUGAAAGCCUGGAGCUCAACUCCAGAACUGCCUUUGAGACUGCAUCGCUUGAAUCCAGGAGAGGUCAGUGGAAUUCCGAGUGUAGAGGUGAAAUUCGUAGAUAUUCGGAAGAACACCAGUGGCGAAGGCGGCUGACUGGACUGGUAUUGACGCUGAGGUGCGAAAGCGUGGGGAGCAAACAGG
This 687-nucleotide ribosomal RNA is filed under the name uncultured Alphaproteobacteria bacterium. RNAcentral's name for it is "bacterial SSU rRNA". It matches the Rfam family "Bacterial small subunit ribosomal RNA", at positions 43 to 776 of the family's 1533-position model. Lineage: Bacteria; Pseudomonadati; Pseudomonadota; Alphaproteobacteria. The record is from RNAcentral.